CUAGAGCACUUUGAUUGGCACAAUGUAUUUUAUAAUCCUUUUGCUUGAUCCCUAGUUCUUGGAGAAAUCGCUUUAAUCACAACAUUUCUUUACCAGCUUCUAUUGCUGCAAUAUAUUCUGCUUCUGUUGUAGAUAAAACAACACACUUUUGUAGUCUUAACCGCCAUGAAACAGCUCUCCCUGCAAAAGUGUAGAGAAAUCCUGUAGUAGAUUUUCUACUAUCAAAAUAUCCCGCCAUAUCUGAAUCUGUAUAACCUUCUAAGUUUGGAUCAGCUCCCCCGUAGCACCGACAUAUCUUUGAUGUACCUUUGAGGUACCUGAGAAUCCACUUGACCGUCUCCCAAUGCUCUCUUCCAGGAUUAGAGAGAAAACGACUCACCAUGCCCACUGCAUGAACAAUAUCUUGUCUUAUGCAUACCAUGACAUACAUCAGGCUUCCAACUGCUGAAGAAUAAGGUACCGAUGACAUCUCCUCUAUCUCUUUCUUGGAUGAGGGGCAUGAAUUCUUGCUCAACUUGAAGUGGUUGGCCAGUGGAAUGCUGACAGUUUGGCUUUAUGCAUGUUGAAUCUCCUGAUCACUCGUUCAACAUACUUCUCUUGAGAUAGUCACAACCUUUUAUUCUUCCUAUCUCGAGUUAUGUGCAUUCCUAAAAUCUAUUAAGCUGGGUCUAAGUCCUUCAUGUCGAAGGACUUGAAGAGUUUCUUCUUCAGCUGCUUGAUUUUUGUUGCAUCUUGUCCGACAAUCAGCAUGUUGUCUACAUACAACAAAAGAGCAACAAAAUCGUCAUCCGAAAAGUGUUGAAUAUAAACGCACUGAUUUGCAGCUGUUCUUUUAUAGCCUUGACUCACCAUGAAAGAGUCGAACUUUUUGUACCACUGCCUGGGUGCUUGCUUAAGACCAUAUAAGCUCUUCUUUAGCUUGCAAACGAAGUUUUCUUUUCCUGAAACUUCAAAACCUUAUGGCUGCUCCAUAUAAAUUUUUUCAUAUAAAUCACCAUGAAGAAAUGCUAUUUUGACAUCCAUCGGCUCAAGCUCUAGAUUCAGACUGGCUACUAAUCCAAGGAUAACUCAAAUUGAAGCCAUUUUUACAGCAGGUGAAAAAAUCUCGUCAAAGUCAAUUCCCUUCUUCUAAAGAAAUCCUUUGACAGCCAAACGGGCUUUAUGUUUUACCACCUUUUCACUGCCAUCGUUCUUGAGUUUGAAAACCCAUUUAUUCCUUAAUGUCUUCUUUCCCUUUGAAAGCUCAACUAACUCAUAUGUUGAUUCUUCUGCAGUGACUCCAUCUCAUCCUGCAUUGCUUGUAUCCACUUAUCUUUGUCCAAAUGAGUUUGUGCUUUUUGAAAACUCUCCGGCUCUCCUUCGUCAGCGAGCAAAAUGUACUCUGAUUCUGGAUAUCUCGUUGAUGGAAUCCAUCCUCAUUCAGAUCUUCUUACCUGUGGAUCGUUGAUCUCAGGAGGUGCAUCAUCAUCUGGUUGAUGUGAUUGUCCGACAAUUUCUGAUGAAGAGGAUUGUGACUCUCCCGAUCAAUAUCCUCUUCUUCAUCCUCCUGUUCUGCUUCCGACAUUUCCUCAUGCAUAUCGUCAUUAUCUAUGGUGAAUUGUGUUGGUGCUAGAUCUGGAACAAUAUUCUGGGCACCAAAAUUGGAAUUAGGAGAUAUUGUGGGCUUCUCAAUGUCUGGUUUUCAUGGAACACUACGUCCUUGCUUCUGAUGACCUUCUUUGUCUUUGGGUCCCAUAAUCUGUAUCCAAAUUCCUCAUCUCUAUAGCCUAUAAAGAUGUAUGGAGUGGUCUUUGCAUCUAGCUUUUGUUUUAGCUCCUUGGAUACAUGUGCAAAGGCUAAACAGCCAAAUACUCUCAAGUGAGAGUAGGAGGGAUAUUUACCAGACCAUACUUUCUCCGAAAUUUCAAAAUUCAACAGUUGAUCUGUUGAUCAGGUAGCAGGCAGUUCGAACAGCUUCUCCCCAAAAUGGCUUUGGCAGCUUAGCCAUACUUAUCAUGCUUCUGACCUUUUCCAAGAUCGUCUGAUUCAUCCUCUCGGCGACUCCAUUAUGCUGUGGGGUGUGUGGUACCGUCUUCUCAUGUACUUGACUCCAUUAUCUGUGCGGAGACACUUCAGCUUCUUUCCUGUUUCACGCUCUAUCAUGGCAUGAAACAAUUUGAAGUAAUCCAAAACUUGGUCCUUUGUCUUCAAGAAAUAUACCCACAACUUUCGAGAAGCAUCAUCAAUGAAUGUUAGAAAAUAUUUGUUACAGCCUAGCGAUUCAACC
Molecule: long non-coding RNA, 2266 nt
Filed under: Olea europaea subsp. europaea
Lineage: Eukaryota; Viridiplantae; Streptophyta; Magnoliopsida; Lamiales; Oleaceae
Source: RNAcentral